RNAcentral lists this ribosomal RNA (252 nucleotides) under uncultured bacterium. RNAcentral describes it as "partial 16S ribosomal RNA". It matches the Rfam family "Bacterial small subunit ribosomal RNA", at positions 524 to 776 of the family's 1533-position model. The record is from RNAcentral.
UACAGAGGGUGCGAGCGUUGUUCGGAAUUAUUGGGCGUAAAGGGCGCGUAGGCGGUGCGGUAAGUCACCUGUGAAAUCUCCUGGCUCAACUGGAGCUUGCAGGCGAAACUGCCGUGCUGGAGUGUGGGAGAGGUGCGUGGAAUUCCUGGUGUAGCGGUGAAAUGCGUAGAUAUCAGGAGGAACACCUGUGGCGAAAGCGGCGCACUGGACCACAACUGACGCUGAGGCGCGAAAGCUAGGGGAGCAAACAGG